GGUAGCUCAGUGGCACAGUGUUUGCCUAACAUGCACAAGACCCUGGGUUCAAUCCCCAGCACCA
RNAcentral lists this transfer RNA (64 nucleotides) under Marmota monax (woodchuck). RNAcentral describes it as "tRNA.Val". It matches the Rfam family "tRNA", at positions 7 to 64 of the family's 71-position model. Rfam says of the family: Transfer RNA (tRNA) molecules are approximately 80 nucleotides in length. The record is from RNAcentral. Lineage: Eukaryota; Metazoa; Chordata; Mammalia; Rodentia; Sciuridae.